AUUGAACGCUGGCGGCAGGCCUAACACAUGCAAGUCGAGCGGAUGAAGGGAGCUUGCUCCUGGCUUCAGCGGCGGACGGGUGAGUAAUGCCUAGGAAUCUGCCUGGGAGUGGGGGAUAACGUCCGGAAACGGGCGCUAAUACCGCAUACGUCCUGAGGGAGAAAGUGGGGGAUCUUCGGACCUCACGCUAUCAGAUGAGCCUAGGUCGGAUUAGCUAGUUGGUGGGGUAAAGGCCUACCAAGGCGACGAUCCGUAACUGGUCUGAGAGGAUGAUCAGUCACACUGGAACUGAGACACGGUCCAGACUCCUACGGGAGGCAGCAGUGGGGAAUAUUGGACAAUGGGCGAAAGCCUGAUCCAGCCAUGCCGCGUGUGUGAAGAAGGUCUUCGGAUUGUAAAGCACUUUAAGUUGGGAGGAAGAGCAGUAAGUUAAUACCUUGCUGUUUUGACGUUACCAACAGAAUAAGCACCGGCUAACUUCGUG
This 484-nucleotide ribosomal RNA is filed under the name uncultured bacterium. Its description in RNAcentral is "partial 16S ribosomal RNA". It matches the Rfam family "Bacterial small subunit ribosomal RNA", at positions 30 to 507 of the family's 1533-position model. The record is from RNAcentral.